AUGAUUUUUGAAGAAGAAAGGCUAUUGUUGUUGUUGGAAAAUUGUGAAAAUUAGAUGUUUGAGGAGGAUUUAAUUAGUAGAAUUUUAUUAGCCUAGUUUUCUAAGUGUUGGAAUUUUGUGUUGAAUAUUUUGGUGAAUUGUUGUUGUGUAUUUUGGCCAAAAGAAAAAGAAAAGGAAGAAGAAAAGAAAUGGGUUGUUUUUGGAAGAAAAGGAAAAUAAAGAAAAUGGUAAAAAUUGGAUUAAAUGAGUUUUUACCUUGGUAAAGUGGUAAAAAGUGAAGAAGGUGAAAGUAAAGGUA
Molecule: long non-coding RNA, 298 nt
Filed under: Rosa chinensis
Lineage: Eukaryota; Viridiplantae; Streptophyta; Magnoliopsida; Rosales; Rosaceae
Description: sRNA RchiOBHm_Chr6g0257891
Source: RNAcentral